AACGAUCGCUGGCGGCAUGCCUAACACAUGCAAGUCGAACGAGACCUUCGGGUCUAGUGGCGCACGGGUGCGUAACGCGUGGGAACCUGCCCUUAGGUUCGGAAUAACUCCCCGAAAGGGGUGCUAAUACCGGAUAAUGUCUUCGGACCAAAGAUUUAUCGCCUUUGGAUGGGCCCGCGUUGGUUUAGCUAGUUGGUAGGGUAAAAGCCUACCAAGGCGACGAUCCAUAGCUGGUCUGAGAGGAUGAUCAGCCACACUGGUACUGAGACACGGCCCAGACGCCUACGGGAGGCAGCAGUGGGGAAUAUUGGACAAUGGGCGAAAGCCUGAUCCAGCAAUGCCGCGUGAGUGAUGAAGGCCUUAGGGUUGUAAAGCUCUUUUACCCGGGAUGAUAAUGACAGUACCGGGAGAAUAAGCUCCGGCUAACUCCGUG
Molecule: ribosomal RNA, 433 nt
Filed under: uncultured bacterium
Lineage: Bacteria
Description: partial 16S ribosomal RNA
Rfam family: Bacterial small subunit ribosomal RNA
Source: RNAcentral